GGGGAAUAUUGGACAAUGGGGGAAACCCUGAUCCAGCCAUGCCGCGUGAGUGAAGAAGGCCUUAGGGUUGUAAAGCUCUUUCGACGGGGACGAUGAUGACGGUACCCGUAGAAGAAGCCCCGGCUAACUUCGUGCCAGCAGCCGCGGUAAUACGAAGGGGGCAAGCGUUGUUCGGAUUUACUGGGCGUAAAGGGCGCGUAGGCGGAUGUACAAGUCAGAGGUGAAAGCCCUGGGCUCAACCCGGGAACUGCCUUUGAAACUGUGCAUCUUGAGUAUGGGAGAGGAUGGCGGAAUACCCAGUGUAGAGGUGAAAUUCGUAGAUAUUGGGUAGAACACCAGUGGCGAAGGCGGCCAUCUGGCCCAUAACUGACGCUGAGGCGCGAAAGCGUGGGGAGCAAAC
This 400-nucleotide ribosomal RNA is filed under the name uncultured bacterium. RNAcentral's name for it is "bacterial SSU rRNA". It matches the Rfam family "Bacterial small subunit ribosomal RNA", at positions 356 to 773 of the family's 1533-position model. The record is from RNAcentral.